This 567-nucleotide long non-coding RNA is filed under the name Rhinopithecus bieti (black snub-nosed monkey). Its description in RNAcentral is "lncRNA (ENSRBIG00000046063.1)". The record is from RNAcentral. Lineage: Eukaryota; Metazoa; Chordata; Mammalia; Primates; Cercopithecidae.
CUUUGACCAGUGGGGAAGACCAGAGCCCUGUCCCUGCUUGUCCCUUUAGGGACGUUGCUGAGAAGCUGGUACCUCAAAAAUCAGGGUCUCCAGUUUCCCUAUCGUUCCUAGCAGAGGGGAAGUCAGAGGCCCAGAGGAGUAGCAAGUCCAAAGUCACACAGCAAGUCUGGUCAGGACCAGCUUGGGGUCAGCUCUUGCCACAGUUCCACCCACUGUAGAGUCCUGGUGUCUGGCGGGGGUCCUGCCUACUGGCCCUGUUGCCCCCCCAGCCCCCAGUGACUGCAGCCUCUGCCUCUGCAGGGCCUGGAAAUUCACACCACCAGCAAUUGCCAGCACUUUGUGUCCCAAGUGGACACCCAGGUUCCCACUGACUCCCAGCUGCAGAUCCAACCUGGAGACGAGGUUGUCCAGAUCAACGAGCAGGUGGUGGUGGGAUGGCCCCGUAAGAACAUGGUGAGGGAGCUGCUGCGGGAGCCAGCCGGACUCAGCUUAGUGCUAAAGAAGAUCCCGAUACCGGAGACCCCCCCACAGGUACCUUCCCCGGCCGCCCCCAAGCUGCCUUCAGAC